UGCUAUAAUUUACAUGUUGAUUAUUGAAUCUUGGUCUUCCAUUUAUUUGAAAAUAAAAUUCAUAUCUUAGUUAUUUAAUAAUAAUAACCUCAAAGUUUAUGACAGCCAGUUUCAUAACAUUGCUAGUGGUAGAGAUUAUUAGUUAGGUUUUAUCAGAUAGUGCACCUCUUAAUAAUCUGACAGCAGAAAAAAUAACAAAAUAUGAAAAAAUAUGACAAUUUUGCACAUGCUUUAAGAAUACGAGCUGUGAGUGCACUUAGUUAACUGUGAAGUCUAAAAUUGAAUAUUAAACAUAAUUGAAAAACGACAUAGAAAAUGAGCGACUGUUUCUUGAUUGCUGAUCAAUACUUUUCAAAGUCAGAUUCGAUGUCACUUCAUUCCACAUCGGCAAAAUUGAUUGUGGAAAAUCCUUUAUGGGAGCAAAAUACGUUCGUUGGUCGGUUCCGUCACUUCUUAUGGAUGACCGAUUGGCGAUCCUGUUUUGCUUCAGAACGUGAUCUCGAUAAAGCAGAAGAGUUGAUAAAAAA
This is a long non-coding RNA of Ctenocephalides felis (cat flea), 527 nucleotides long. RefSeq lists it as uncharacterized. NCBI's taxonomy places the organism in Eukaryota, Metazoa, Arthropoda, Insecta, Siphonaptera, Pulicidae. The record is from RefSeq and is a predicted model, not a curated record. The transcript is spliced from 3 exons.